UACGUAGGGUGCGAGCGUUGUCCGGAAUUAUUGGGCGUAAAGAGCGCGCAGGCGGUCUAUCAAGUCAGAUGUGAAAUAUCCGGGCUUAACCCGGAGGGGUCAUUUGAAACUGGUAGACUAGAGUACAGCAGAGGAUAGCGGAAUUCCCGGUGUAGUGGUGAAAUGCGUAGAUAUCGGGAGGAACACCAGUGGCGAAGGCGGCUAUCUGGGCUGAAACUGACGCUGAGGCGCGAAGGCUAGGGGAGCAAACAGG
RNAcentral lists this ribosomal RNA (253 nucleotides) under uncultured bacterium. RNAcentral describes it as "partial 16S ribosomal RNA". It matches the Rfam family "Bacterial small subunit ribosomal RNA", at positions 524 to 776 of the family's 1533-position model. The record is from RNAcentral.